GGGCCGGUGGUGAAACCGGAGAUCACCCGGAGCUACGAACUCUGUGUUGGGGGUUCGAGUCCCUCCUGGCCCACCA
This 76-nucleotide transfer RNA is filed under the name Armatimonadota bacterium. RNAcentral's name for it is "Armatimonadetes bacterium (groundwater metagenome) tRNA-Arg". It matches the Rfam family "tRNA". From Rfam's summary of the family: Transfer RNA (tRNA) molecules are approximately 80 nucleotides in length. The record is from RNAcentral. Lineage: Bacteria; Bacillati; Armatimonadota.